CCUCACCCUCCACAGGAAACAGGAGAAAUGCAUAGUCUUCUACACCCUGAGUGAAGACUAUACCUUUGCACACACCGUGCUCUUCCACACCUCUCUUCUUCCUUCAUCUAUUUUUGUAAACUCGUGCUGAAGAGUAACUUCCGAUCCUGACUUCCUCAAACCUCAGACAAGCUGCUGCCUCUUAACUCCGAGGUGAAUUCUCUCUGAUGAAAGGACAUCUUCGGUUACAGUUCCCGACCUGACCCUCAUGCUUCUGAGGCUCCUGCUGUUCAUCUAUGCUCCACUCUGUGAACCAACCGAGCUGCUUCUGAUAGCUAGUCCCACCCGGCCUAUAGAGGGGAGCUCGAUGACUCUGAUCUGUAAGAUCUACCCAGCUCCGCAGACAGCAGGUGUCCAGCUUCAAUUCUGCUUCUUCAGUGAUGUCUGGAACCAGAGAUUGCCCUGCAACACCUCCCCAAAGCUUCAGAUUCCCAAAAUGUGGCGUGAAAACUCAGGGUCUUACUGGUGUGAGGCAAAGCCAGAGAAAACUCGAGUUAUACGGAGCCAGAGGUUCUGGAUAGACGUGCAGAGAGUCCGCGUCUCUGAUGUGAGCUUGGAGACACAGCCCCCAGGGGGCCAGGUGAUGGAGGGAAAAAAGCUGGUCCUGGUCUGCUCGGUCGCUAAGGGCACAGGAAACAUCACCUUCCUCUGGUACAAAGGGGCCAUGGGUUUCAAACUGGGCACAAAGACCCUGCGUUCCUUAACUGCAGACUUUGAGAUCCUCACGGCGAGGGAGAGUGAUGCUGAGCAAUAUUACUGUGCAGCUGACAAUGGCUAUGGCCCCAGCCUCAGUGGGCUGGUGAGCAUCACUGUCAGAAUUCCAGUGUCUCAUCCAGUCCUCACCCUCAGGGCUACUGGGGCCCAGGCUGUGGUGGGGGACAUGGUGGAGCUUCACUGUGAGGCCCAAAGAGGCUCUCCCCCAAUCCUAUACCGGUUCUAUCACGAAGAUAUCAUCUUGGGGAACAGCUCAGCCCCCUCUGGAGGAGGAGCAUCCUUCAACCUGACUGCAGAGCAUUCUGGGAACUACUUCUGUGAGGCCGACAAUGGCCUGGGGGCCCAGCACAGUGAGGCCGUGCUACUCAACAUCACAGUGCCUACCAAGGACAGAAGGGAACUUCUUACUAUAGGAGUCAUCGAGGGGCUACUCGGCACCCUUGGUCCCACCGCUGUCAUCCUACUCUUUUGUUACUGGCUCAAGAAAAAAAUAGGAAACCGGUCAGCCAGGGAUCCACUCAGGAGCCCUCCCAGCCCUGUACCCCAAGACUUUACCUAUGUCAACUCACCUACCCCAGCGCCGCCGCAGCCCGUGUAUGAAAAUGUGAACGUUGUAAGUGGGGAUGACGUCUAUUCACUGGUGUACUGUAGCCAGCAGGAACGGAAACCAGCAGCAGGUGAGAGAUGAGGACUGACUUUGUGUCUGCCUCUUUUCCUUCCUGGAACCAAGAGGAGAAUCAAUGGCGGCGCCCAGCAGAGCAGCUGCCUGGAGCCGGCCCUGAGCACUACCGUCCCUCUCUGAAAACUGGUCUUUGGUCCGGAAGCAGCCUGGAGUAGAUCACAAUGCUAACGUUAACUUGGCCUGUUUAACGUCUCACCGCCCAGUGUUACCGCAGCAGCAGCAGAGACGAUGGCUUCUGUCUGCUCUCUCGGAGUGGUCCCACGGCCUCCCAAAGCAGCCCCAUCACAGCCACCUAAUUAUUUUGCUGCUGCGCUUCGCACGCGUGUUGGGCUCAGCAAAUCUGAGUGAGCCGCCAAGGACACUUACUGAGGAUGAGGUCUCCUUAGCCAUCUAUUCUAAGGUGAAGCAGGCAAGCAAUAUGGAUGUGGACUAUGAAGAUGCAAUGUAAAACUAUGGAAUAUUCCACCUUUUUAAAACCAUCCAUGAGCCCAAGCCUCAGAUCCAACAUGUUCUUCAGAGAGCACAGGGGAGCCGGCUUUCUGGUACACCUCACCCAGGUGCUUUGCUCCAUGAGCCUAAUCCUUCAUCUACCGUGAAGUCACUGUAAGCCCUGAAGAGACCAUCCAGGAGAACUAACGUGGAUACAGGAGUGGGAAGAACUGUGUUAUGGAAGAGCUGGUUUCCUGCUGGUUCCUCUGGGAUGGGUCAAAACGUGCUCUUAAUUCUUUUCGCAAGAGGAAAUGGUGGGAUAAAAGGGGUUGGGCUCUCCUGGUGGAGAAAUAGUGAAGCUAAGAGUGCGUGGACCCAGGGAGAGUGGUUUUGUAGAACUGCUCCAACAAGGCAGCUGUGUCCAUGGUUUUGUCUAAGUAUUUUCUCAGCACAGGCAGUAGAGAACCCCACUUAGGUUAAUCAUCAUGUUUCUGCCUAAAAUACACUAUUCAGUAUAUUUUGGGUCAAGUUAGCAAAUUAGAACUAAAACAAAAUUACAUAAAGAAUUAUGGUGGCCACACUCAAUUUUAAUAAUGUGUUAUCCAGGCUGAUCUAAAUGUCUCAAUAUUUAUGAGAAAUAAUCUCUAUCCAAAAUUCUGUGUCUGCUGCAACCUCUAGAAGGUUUGUGAAUAUAUUUUUUACUUCUUUCAUUCAUAAAUUUCUUGAAAACAUGUAUAAUAUGGUUUGGAGUCUGUGUUUUAAUUUGAAAGCAAUCGCACACUCUUACAAAUGAAAGCAAUUUGCAUAAAAAAUAAAAAAGUUGAAGCUGUCCCUGUAAUAGGACACCACAAAGGGUAGCCAUUGUUAAAAAUGUACCUUAUGACUCUCCAGAUAGUUUUGUACAAACACAUACACAUGUAUGUAAGUAUAGUUAUUUAAAAAUAUGCCUACUUAACAAAAUAUCGUGAAAUACUUUCAAGUCUGUAUAGAUCUACUGUACUAUAUUAAAAGGCUGUACAGUAUUCCAUUGUAUAGGCAAGCCAUAAUAUGUUUUAAUCCUUCCCAGCACUGAUGGACUUUAAGGUGGCUUCCAAAGUUUUCAUAUUGUAAAAACAUUGCUAAAGUAAAUGUCCUAUAAAAAAACAUCUUUUUAUGCA
RNA transcript from Loxodonta africana (African savanna elephant), 3021 nucleotides. It is a transcript of the gene named Fc receptor-like protein 1, with no coding region annotated. Lineage: Eukaryota; Metazoa; Chordata; Mammalia; Proboscidea; Elephantidae. The record is from RefSeq and is a predicted model, not a curated record. The transcript is spliced from 11 exons.